GAGUUUGAUCGUGGCUAGGAUGAACGCUGGCGGCGUGCCUAAUACAUGCAAGUCGAGCGAACGGACGAGAAGCUUGCUUCUCUGAUGUUAGCGGCGGACGGGUGAGUAACACGUGGAUAACCUACCUAUAAGACUGGGAUAACUUCGGGAAACCGGAGCUAAUACCGGAUAAUAUUUUGAACCGCAUGGUUCAAAAGUGAAAGACGGUCUUGCUGUCACUUAUAGAUGGAUCCGCGCUGCAUUAGCUAGUUGGUAAGGUAACGGCUUACCAAGGCAACGAUGCAUAGCCGACCUGAGAGGGUGAUCGGCCACACUGGAACUGAGACACGGUCCAGACUCCUACGGGAGGCAGCAGUAGGGAAUCUUCCGCAAUGGGCGAAAGCCUGACGGAGCGACGCCGCGUGAGUGAUGAAGGUCUUCGGAUCGUAAAACUCUGUUAUUAGGGAAGAACAUAUGUGUAAGUAACUGUGCACAUCUUGACGGUACCUAAUCGGAAAGCCACGGCUAACUACGUGCCAG
This 519-nucleotide ribosomal RNA is filed under the name uncultured microorganism. Its description in RNAcentral is "bacterial SSU rRNA". It matches the Rfam family "Bacterial small subunit ribosomal RNA", at positions 9 to 511 of the family's 1533-position model. The record is from RNAcentral.